RNAcentral lists this ribosomal RNA (497 nucleotides) under uncultured bacterium. RNAcentral's name for it is "partial 16S ribosomal RNA". It matches the Rfam family "Bacterial small subunit ribosomal RNA", at positions 28 to 507 of the family's 1533-position model. The record is from RNAcentral.
GAUGAACGCUGGCGGCGUGCCUAAUACAUGCAAGUCGAGCGAACAGACGAGGAGCUUGCUCCUCUGACGUUAGCGGCGGACGGGUGAGUAACACGUGGAUAACCUACCUAUAAGACUGGGAUAACUUCGGGAAACCGGAGCUAAUACCGGAUAACAUGUUGAACCGCAUGGUUCAACAGUGAAAAACGGUCUUGCUGUCACUUAUAGAUGGAUCCGCGCCGCAUUAGCUAGUUGGUAAGGUAACGGCUUACCAAGGCAACGAUGCGUAGCCGACCUGAGAGGGUGAUCGGCCACACUGGAACUGAGACACGGUCCAGACUCCUACGGGAGGCAGCAGUAGGGAAUCUUCCGCAAUGGGCGAAAGCCUGACGGAGCAACGCCGCGUGAGUGAAGAAGGUCUUCGGAUCGUAAAACUCUGUUAUUAGGGAAGAACAAAUGUGUAAGUAACUAUGCACGUCUUGACGGUACCUAAUCAGAAAGCCACGGCUAACUACGUG